RNAcentral lists this transfer RNA (64 nucleotides) under Pterolebias phasianus. Its description in RNAcentral is "tRNA-OTHER". Lineage: Eukaryota; Metazoa; Chordata; Actinopteri; Cyprinodontiformes; Rivulidae. The record is from RNAcentral.
CCUAAUAUAAUUAAACCUAAAAACUUAUCUAAACCGAGGAACCGCAAACAGUAAGCUAUUUACA